Molecule: microRNA precursor, 190 nt
Filed under: Oryza barthii
Lineage: Eukaryota; Viridiplantae; Streptophyta; Magnoliopsida; Poales; Poaceae
Description: MIR812 microRNA precursor family
Rfam family: MIR812 microRNA precursor family
Source: Rfam by way of RNAcentral
GUCGAGUACUUCACUCGUUUCAAAACAAACGUUUGACCGUUCAUUUUAUUUAAAAAAAAUUUUAUGAUUACUUUUUUAUUAUUAGAUGGUAAAACAUAAAUAGUAUUUUAUGUGUGACUAUUUUUUUUAAUUUUUUUAAAUAAAAUAAACGGUUAAAUGUUAAACACGGAUACUUACGACAUCACUUAUU